UACGGAGGGUGCGAGCGUUAAUCGGAAUUACUGGGCGUAAAGGGUGCGUAGGUUGUUUGAUAAGCUAGUUGUGAAAUACCAGUGCUUAACAUUGGGGAGUCAACUAGAACUGUUAGACUAGAGUAAAGUAGAGGGUGCUAGAAUUUCCGGUGUAGCGGUGAAAUGCGUAGAGAUCGGAAGGAAUAUCGGUUGCGAAGGCG
RNAcentral lists this ribosomal RNA (200 nucleotides) under uncultured bacterium. RNAcentral describes it as "partial 16S ribosomal RNA". It matches the Rfam family "Bacterial small subunit ribosomal RNA", at positions 524 to 723 of the family's 1533-position model. The record is from RNAcentral.